This 430-nucleotide long non-coding RNA is filed under the name Panax ginseng (ginseng). Its description in RNAcentral is "long non-coding RNA (PGIN_LNC001317)". Lineage: Eukaryota; Viridiplantae; Streptophyta; Magnoliopsida; Apiales; Araliaceae. The record is from RNAcentral.
UAGACGAAAAGGGAAAAUUUUCAUUUUUUGAUGAAUAGUGCCGUAUUCGUGAAUAGUGUCGUAUACGUGAAUAGUGUCGUAUACGUGAAUAGUAACUCCGACACCAAAAGUUUCAAAUUUGAUAAAAAUUUCAGAUCAAUAUUUCAGCAUAAUGAUAUUGAAGAAAUAAUAUCAUUACUAAAAAAAUAAUAUCCCUUACCUCGAAAGACAGUACUUCUAGUUGAAACACCGGAUAUAAGCUAUGACUUGAACUUGCACCGUAUAGCAUCAGUACUCAAAGUAUACUCAAAAUACUCACAAGAAUACGCUCGAUAAUAUAAAGAGAGAAAAUUUCAGUUUCUGGUGUGAUUUUCAAUUCUAACCUAAGCACCCUAUUUAUAGGAAAAUGCUUAAAAAAUCAAAGUAGAAAAUUUAUUAAAAUAUAUAUAUA